RNA transcript from Ipomoea triloba (trilobed morning glory), 1826 nucleotides. RefSeq lists it as uncharacterized. Lineage: Eukaryota; Viridiplantae; Streptophyta; Magnoliopsida; Solanales; Convolvulaceae. The record is from RefSeq and is a predicted model, not a curated record. The transcript has 5 exons.
GAGAAAUUGUAUCUCCUUCACUCUUGACACAAAUUUAGAAGAAGGCAAAUACUCCCUCCGAUCCGCUCAAACACAAAUAGGCUCUUCGUUUCCCAGCUAAUGACCAACAGUUUCUUCAUAGUCACCCUACAGACAAAGACUUGAUCUUCCUUCAUCUUUGUCCCCAGACGAAAACCAGUACACUUUAUCCUCCGACGCUGCUCGCCGUCUCUCUCCUCUUUUGGCGUUUGGAUUCCAGUUAAUUUGCAUAGGUUUAGGUUAUUGGAUUAUGGCACCAGUGAGAGAUAGAAUCAGUCAACUUCCUGCGGAUAUACUUGACCACAUCUUGGGAUUCUUGCCAAUUCAAGAUGCUGCUAAAACCGCUGUGUUAUCUUCCAUUUGGAGAGAUGUUUGGCUUCGUCUUACCCAACUCAAUUUUGAUCAUGGGUUCUUUCAUUAUAUUAAUAAUAAACAUUGCCAUGCUAGCAAGUAUGUCAAGAAAUCAGCUGCAAGUUUAUACGUGAUCAACAAAGUUCUCCUGCUGCACAAAGGAACAAUUCAGAAAUUUGUUCUCUGUUUUUAUAAUGUUGGGAUACUUGCAAUUAGGUCUCGGUCUUAUGACUUUGACCAGUGGUUACUUUUAGUCACACAUAAAGGUGUUGAAGAGAUCUACAUUCGUUUUGGAGAAGAAGCAUAAAUAGUUAAUUGGGCUGCGUAGUUUAACAAUCGAAUCUUUCUCAUCUAACGGGUUGGGCAAAUUUCUCCCGGUUAACUUGGACUUGAGAUCUAUUUCUACUCUUGUUUUGGGUGGUUGUGUCCAGGGAUUUGUUAAAGAAUCCACCAGGAUGGGAUUUCGACUGAAUGUGGAAUACCUUAAGCUUUCACGUUUUGAAAAAUUCAAUCCCCAAACUAACAGAUCAUCUUCUGUGCUUGCUCAUUUGCUGCAAUUAUGCCCUAAGUUAUGCGAACUGGAUAUCAAUUUAAUUGGGCUCAAUUCAGUGACUACUGAAUGCAUGGACCCCUUGUUGGAACUUAAUGAUGUGGCUCUAACAAAUAAGAUGCUCCAUGCUUUGAAGUUUAUCUCAUUUAAAGGGUCACAUUCUGAAAUGCUUUUCAUUAAGAAACUACUUGCUAGUUUUUCAACACUUGAAAAGGUUGUCAUUGUUCGUGAGAAAUAUCACUGCAAAAAGGACUCUACUGAAAUUAUGCAGGAGCUUUUGGAUCUUCCCGUUGCCUCCACAAAAAUGAAAAUUAUUAUUGUCUAGUGAGUAUAUUUCCAUUGAAAAAACAAGUUUCUAUGAAAAUCUCUGCAUUCCAUUCAGUUGUUGUGUGUGUGCCCAAUCUUGUGGCAACUUGAGAUAUGCUUAUCGAUAAUAUUCAUUUUCACAGCUACCUUAUUCAGUGAAGUUUUGAUUGUUUGUAUUGUUUUUUAUUCCCUAAUGCAAUUUUGUCCCAAAUUAUUUUUGGAAGGUUGAUGGAAUGAAGCCUAAUGGUGACAACAUUGCAUUGAUGUUUUGGAAGUAACGGCUUAGCUAGUUUGGCUCAUGCACAAAGUUCUUCGCAGUGAGGGUCGAGGAAAGAAAUAUUUUUUUGUCAAGGCAUUUCUUGUUUGCUUUCCUAUGCUCUCUUUAUGCUCUCUUUUUAACACUCAAGAAGGUUGUCGUUGUUCAUGCAUACCCAUAAUUUGCAAGAGGUUUUCAAUUUUCCUCGUGUCUUAGAAAAGCAAAAAUGAUUUUCUUUUAAAAGUCUUGUUGUAUUUUUACUAUUGGACUCAAAUCCUUUUGUUUCCUUCUAUGAAUGAUAUGCUCUAUAACUUUUGCAAUGUGCCAUGGUUAGCUUGUAUAUAA